This 378-nucleotide ribosomal RNA is filed under the name uncultured bacterium. RNAcentral's name for it is "bacterial SSU rRNA". It matches the Rfam family "Bacterial small subunit ribosomal RNA", at positions 28 to 426 of the family's 1533-position model. The record is from RNAcentral.
GAUGAACGCUGGCGGCGUGCCUAAUACAUGCAAGUCGAGCGAACCACUUCGGUGGUGAGCGGCGAACGGGUGAGUAACACGUAGGUGAUCUGCCCAUCAGACGGGGACAACGAUUGGAAACGAUCGCUAAUACCGGAUAGGACGAAAGUUUAAAGGUGCUUCUGGCACCGCUGAUGGAUGAGCCCGCGGCGCAUUAGCUAGUUGGUAGGGUAAAGGCCUACCAAGGCGACGAUGCGUAGCCGACCUGAGAGGGUGAACGGCCACACUGGGACUGAGACACGGCCCAGACUCCUACGGGAGGCAGCAGUAGGGAAUCUUCGGCAAUGGGCGAAAGCCUGACCGAGCAACGCCGCGUGAAUGAUGAAGGCCUCGGGUUGU